CCUACGGGGGGCUGCAGUGGGGAAUAUUGCACAAUGGAGGAAACUCUGAUGCAGCAACGCCGCGUGGAGGAUGACGCAUUUCGGUGUGUAAACUCCUUUUAUAAGGGAAGAUAAUGACGGUACCUUAUGAAUAAGCACCGGCUAACUCCGUGCCAGCAGCCGCGGUAAUACGGAGGGUGCAAGCGUUACUCGGAAUCACUGGGCGUAAAGGAUGCGUAGGCUGGAAAUCAAGUCGAGAGUGAAAUCCAACGGCUCAACCGUUGAACUGCUCUCGAAACUGAUUACCUAGAAUAUGGGAGAGGUAGAUGGAAUUGGUGGUGUAGGGGUAAAAUCCGUAGAUAUCACCAGGAAUACCGAUUGCGAAGGCGAUCUACUGGAACAUUAUUGACGCUGAGGCAUGAAAGCGUGGGGAGCAAACAGGAUUAGAUACCCGGGUAGUC
RNAcentral lists this ribosomal RNA (440 nucleotides) under Weissella confusa. Its description in RNAcentral is "bacterial SSU rRNA". It matches the Rfam family "Bacterial small subunit ribosomal RNA", at positions 338 to 795 of the family's 1533-position model. Lineage: Bacteria; Bacillati; Bacillota; Bacilli; Lactobacillales; Lactobacillaceae. The record is from RNAcentral.